GAUGAACGCUGACAGAAUGCUUAACACAUGCAAGUCUUUGGCGAAGCUGUGCUUGCACAGCCUAGCCAAGGCGGACGGGUGAGUAACGCGUAAGGAACUUGCCCUGCAGUCAGGGAUAACAGACGGAAACGACUGAUAAGACCUGGUAAAGUCAGGCGGACUCAUGUCCAGCCUGAUGAAAAGUGAUGCUGCAGGAGAGCCUUGCGUCCUAUUAGCUUGUUGGUGGGGUAACGGCCCACCAAGGCGAUGAUAGGUAGCCGGCCUGAGAGGGUGGACGGCCACAAGGGGACUGAGAUACGGCCCUUACUCCUCCGGGAGGCAGCAGUGGGGAAUAUUGGACAAUGGGGGCAACACUGAUCAAGCAAUUCUGUGUGAACGAUGAAGGUUUUCGGAUUGUAAAGUGCUUUCAGCAGGGAAGAAAAAAAUGACGGUACCUGCAGAAGAAGCGACGGCUAAAUACGUG
Molecule: ribosomal RNA, 463 nt
Filed under: uncultured bacterium
Lineage: Bacteria
Description: partial 16S ribosomal RNA
Rfam family: Bacterial small subunit ribosomal RNA
Source: RNAcentral